UCCGGUGAACCCAAAUCGGCGUGUUAUUGGGAACAGGUGUCUUGUUAAGCGUGGCGAUCACGGAUUUGGCAAUUCAGUGAAGAGGAGACACAUAAAUAGGGCAUCAGAAACACAGGAAAUGGUUGGUGAUUCCGAGAGAAUGGUGUACUGUGGAGCUUGGGCAAAGAGAGAUACACACACAGGGCUGAGUAUACGAAUAUCUUUAUUGGAGCAUUGUGUUCAGAUGCAUUGUGUGAGGUGAAGUUAACACACAUUGAAGAUCUGCUAGGAUUGCAGGAAGGAGGAAAGUGGAAAGAUCCAGUGUUAAUGAAAGGGAUUAGUGGGUGUGCCGGGACCAGCGAAAAAAAGGAGUCUGGUGCCUUGUCGUGGCUGUGACAUUUCCUCUGCCCAUCUGCUGCAUCGGUGCCCCCAACGUCCAGGAACUAAUCCCCGGUCCUAUGUGGUUUUGACCCUAAUUCACUGUGAGCUUUUGGAGUGCAGUGGGCUGGGAGAGAAAACCCUGUGGGGAAGAACGUGCACCGGUGUUGUGAGACAACCGUCUUUUAUAUACAUGCCCGCUCGUGGCUUUGGACCCCUACUCCACCGAGUGGUGACGUGUCAACAAUAGCAAGUAAGGAACAGUGUGCAUAUUGUGGGGGACGAUGACUGCGACGUGUUGGCUGCUAUAUGAACAUCCAGCACUGUAGCCCUUGUGUAUGAAUACCUGUUUGUGGAGUGCUUUCCGAGGUUCGCCCCUGUCUAGAUCUCUGGUCCGUUGUCUGGAAGAGAGGAGAGGGAAGCGUUCGAGUCAUUCCUGAGGUACAUACCCGGUGGCACAAACCUACCUGAAGCCACCCAGCGUGGUGGCACCAGCUGAGGCCGUGGAAGGCCCAACGUGCAGCAACUUCAAUCUGUACUUCUAUCCACUCUUGGUCAAAUUCAAGAGGUGGUGAGUCUUUCUCCAUAUAUUCACUGAAGCUAAGUAAAUUUGUGAAGGAACUCUGUCUGUCUGUUACCAGUCCUACAGGUCUGAGCUUGAGGCUCUGAGCCAUCAUGGGAGUGUUUCCACGGUUGGAGGUGACCGGUUUGAGUGUUGGUCUGGGAAGUCUGCCCCAGUGAAGAAGACCACAGUUGUCGUGACAUAUACACAUUCUCUAGACUCCCGAGCUGAAAAGGGCUUAAGCCUGACGUCCACCUCUUCGAGGGUCUGUGAGUUGUAUCCAUUCAGUAUUGUCAUCGAAUACCCACCUGCAUGCCCAAAGUCAAACUCCAGUUGCCCUUUGUAUACUCUACUGUACGCCCACAUUUAAGAGCCAGCAUAUUGUCCUUGUAUACUUGCGUGUACGUCCAAAGUAAAGACCCAGUUGUCCUUCUGCAUACAUACUUGUACGCCCGAGUGAAAUACCAGUGCAUCGCCCUUGCAUACUCGCCUACAAACUCCAUCCGUAGGGUUUACCUGGACGAAAAUCCCCGUGACAGAGUAAGAAGCGACUCGGACCUAUACUCUCUGGCCUCGAGAGUGGAUAUUAGAUUCCCUUUUCCCUUCCCUUCACACCUUUUAGAUAAUUUAAAUAAAGUUUGUUUUAUUCAUACUCCCUUUCUCUCGUGUGUCUGGUCAUUGGGAUGUUCUUGGGACCUCCUCGAGGUGGAAACUAGGGAGGGGAGAGACUCACGACAUCUGUGGUCCGCUCCGACCUGUGACAUAUGUUUGGUGAAGAUCCCCAUUUCCUAGAUUGCAGUAAUUAACUAGUCACUCUGGAAUGCAUGUGCACACUAACAAAUGUAAUUGACUUCAUUGAUUUAUUGUUAUGUUUUUGCAGCCUCUCUUGUUGACUUCUCUGAGGAUGCACAAAAAGGACUGCAGUGUCUGGUUCAUCAGAGGCUCAGCAAACUGAAAGCAAAAAUGCUUUUAGUCAACAUCCAUUACAAAUCUAUCCUGAAUGAUAACUCUCACCUGGAGAUGGAGUUGGAAGAAGACAUAUAACUUGAUGCUAUAGCCUCUGAUUUCAGCUGUUCUGAUGAGGACUCUGACUGAAUGUCAUCUGCCAUCAAACAUGCUUCAAUUACUGUGUUGUACUGCUAAAUUCAGAAAAAACAGGUGUUAAUUAUAGGGCCUAAAAACUCUGCUUGUAAUAACCUGGAACACUGUCUAAGACUUGAUGGUUGCUGUCAAUUCUUCGUUAUCAUUUAGGAACCUAGGUCUGCUACUUGAUCGCAAUCUUUCCUUAGAAAGCCACGUUUCUAGCCUUUGUAAAUCUGCAUUUUUCCAUCUCAAAAAUAUAUCUUAGUUACGGCCUAUGCUCUCAAUGUCAAAUGCAGAAAUGUUAAUCCAUGCAUUUAUGACUUCAUGGUUAGACUAUUGUAAUGCUUUAUUGGGUGGUUGUUCUGCACGCUUAGUAAACAAACUACAGCUAGUCCAAAAUUCUUACUAGAACCAGGAAGUAUGACCAUAUUAGCCCGGUCCUGUCCACACUGCACUGGCUCCCUAUCAAACACCAUAUAGAUUUUAAAAUAUUGCUUAUUACUUAUAAAGCCCUGAAUGGUUUAGCACCUCAGUAUUUGAAUGAGCUCCUUUUACAUUAUACUCCUCUAUGUCCGCUACGUUCACAAAACUCAGGCAAUUUGAUAAUACCUAGAAUAUCAAAAUCAACUGCGGGCGGCAGAUCCUUUUCCUAUUUGGCGCCUAAACUCUGGAAUAACCUACCUAACAUUGUUCGGGAGGCAGACACACUCUUGCAGUUUAAAUCUAGAUUAAAGACCCAUCUCUUUAACCUGGCAUACACAUAACAUACUAAUAUGCUUUUAAUAUCCAAAUCCGUUAAAGGAUUUUUAGGCUGCAUUAAUUAGGGUGUUAUGGGAAGUGUUUCCGGUUUACCUAUUUACUUGCUACAUCAUUAGAAGAAUGGCAUCUACGCUAAUAUUUGUCUGUUUCUCUCUUGUUUCCGAGGUCACCGUGGCCACCAGAACCAGUCUGUAACCAGUUCAGAGGGUCACUGCAGUCGCCCGGAUCCAGUACGUAUCCAGACCAGAUGGUGGAUCAGCACCUAGAAAGGACCUCUACUGCCCAGAAAGACAGCGGAGUCCAGGACAACUAGAGCCCCAGAUACAGAUCCCCUGUAAAGACCUUGUCUCAGAGGACCACCAGGACAAGACCACAGGAAACGGAUGAUUCUUCUGCACAAUCUGACUUUGCUGCAGCCUGAAGUUGAACUACUGGUUUCAUCUGGUCAGAGGAGAACUGGCCCCCCAACUGAGCCUGGUUUCUCCCAAGGUUCUUUUUCUCCAUUCUGUCACCGAUGGAGUUUCGGUUAUUUGCCGCUGUCGCCUCUGGCUUGCUUAGUUGGGGACACUUCAUCUACAGUGAUAUCGUUGACUUGAUUGUAAAUAAAUGCACAGACACUAUUUAAACUGAACAGAGAUGACAACUGAAUUCAAUGAUGAACUGCCUUUAACUAUCAUUUUGCAUUAUUGAGACACUGUUUUCCAAAUGAAUGUUGUUCAGUGCUUUGACGCAAUGUAUUUUGUUUAACGCACUAUAUAAAUAA
Long non-coding RNA from Carassius gibelio (silver crucian carp), 3524 nucleotides. RefSeq lists it as uncharacterized. NCBI's taxonomy places the organism in Eukaryota, Metazoa, Chordata, Actinopteri, Cypriniformes, Cyprinidae. The record is from RefSeq and is a predicted model, not a curated record. The transcript has 3 exons.